Molecule: ribosomal RNA, 467 nt
Filed under: uncultured bacterium
Lineage: Bacteria
Description: partial 16S ribosomal RNA
Rfam family: Bacterial small subunit ribosomal RNA
Source: RNAcentral
GACGAACGCUGGCGGCGUGCUUAACACAUGCAAGUCGAACGAUGACGCCCGAGCUUGCUCGGUCUGAUUAGUGGCGAACGGGUGAGUAACACGUGAGCAACCUGCCCUUCACUCUGGGAUAACCUCGGGAAAUCGGGGCUAAUACCGGAUAUGAGCUCCUGUCGCAUGGCGGGUGUUGGAAAGUUUUUCGGUUAUGGAUGGGCUUGCGGCCUAUCAGUUUGUUUGUGAGGUAGUGGCUGACCAAGGCGAUGACGGGUAGCCGGCCUGAGAGGGCGACCGGCCACACUGGGACUGAGAGACGGCCCAGACUCCUACGGGAGGCAGCAGUGGGGAAUAUUGCACAAUGGGCGAAAGCCUGAUGCAGCGACGCCGCGUGAGGGAUGACGGCCUUCGGGUUGUAAACCUCUUUCAGCAGGGAAGAAGCGAAAGUGACGGUACCUGCAGAAGAAGCGCCGGCUAACUACGUG